RNAcentral lists this ribosomal RNA (589 nucleotides) under Lepidotheca chauliostylus. RNAcentral describes it as "partial 16S large subunit ribosomal RNA". It matches the Rfam family "Bacterial large subunit ribosomal RNA", at positions 1835 to 2594 of the family's 2925-position model. The record is from RNAcentral. Lineage: Eukaryota; Metazoa; Cnidaria; Hydrozoa; Anthoathecata; Stylasteridae.
CCUAGAAUUAAUCUAAGGUGCAACCUGCCCAAUGAUUUCAAAUUAAUAAACAUAAACGUUUAAAAUGAAAUUUAAAGGACGCAGUAAUCUGACUGUGAUAAUGUAGCAUAAUCACUCGCCAUUUAAUUGAUGGAUAGUAUGAAUGGUUAAACGAAUCCUUCACUGUCUUAAAAAGAGAAAUCAUGAAAUUGAAAUGAUAGUAAAGAUGCUAUCUAAAAUUGUAAGACGAAAAGACCCUAUAGAGCUUAACUACCUUCUUUUUAAAAAUAAAGGAAAUUAAAGUCCUAAAAAAAGAAAGAGUGCUAGUUUAGUUGGGGCGACUAUCUUCUAAAAAUAACGAAGACAAGCAAAAUUAAUAAGUAAUUUAUUGUAUAAUCCAUAAAUUUAACAAUUAUAAAAGUAGGCUAUAAUGACCCGUUAAAACUAAGUAAUUAGAAUAACGAUUAAUAAAUAAAAGCUACCUUAGGGAUAACAGGAUAAUUUUGUUCUAGAGACCCUAUCGAAAACAAAGUUUGUCACCUCUAUGUUGAAUUAAGAUAUCCUGAUAAUGCAGAAGUUAUCAAAGGUAGGUCUGUUCGACCUUUAAAAU